RNAcentral lists this non-coding RNA (298 nucleotides) under Palpitomonas bilix. The record is from RNAcentral.
AAAAAAGAGAAAAAGAUCCGCUCUCGUCAUCAUGUGCUUUUCCGCUUGCAACUAUUGUGGUUCUCUGAAUCGUCAAAGAAAGAUGAUUUCAUUUUCCCUUUCAAAUUCCAGAUGUAAGAACAACAGGAAGAAAAUGCAUGGAUUUCCGUGGAACGAUUGGUUUCUCGAAUGUCAAAAACAGGGUGGAAAAGAAAAGGAAAAGAGAGCAGGGGAAAUCCUUCUUUUGUUCUCUCUUUUUCUCUUUUUGAAUGUCACACAGGAAAAAAAAAGAAAGAAAGAAAGAAAGAAAGAAAAUACU